This 400-nucleotide ribosomal RNA is filed under the name marine bacterium SIMO-IS186. RNAcentral describes it as "bacterial SSU rRNA". It matches the Rfam family "Bacterial small subunit ribosomal RNA", at positions 93 to 479 of the family's 1533-position model. The record is from RNAcentral. Lineage: Bacteria; Bacillati; Bacillota.
UAGCGGCGGACGGGUGAGUAACACGUGGGUAACCUGCCUGUAAGACUGGGAUAACUCCGGGAAACCGGAGCUAAUACCGGAUAGUUCCUUGAACCGCAUGGUUCAAGGAUGAAAGACGGUUUCGGCUGUCACUUACAGAUGGACCCGCGGCGCAUUAGCUAGUUGGUGGGGUAAUGGCUCACCAAGGCGACGAUGCGUAGCCGACCUGAGAGGGUGAUCGGCCACACUGGGACUGAGACACGGCCCAGACUCCUACGGGAGGCAGCAGUAGGGAAUCUUCCGCAAUGGACGAAAGUCUGACGGAGCAACGCCGCGUGAGUGAUGAAGGUUUUUCGGAUCGUAAAGCUCUGUUGUUAGGGAAGAACAAGUGCGAGAGUAACUGCUCGCACCUGGCGGUACC